AAGAUUGAACCAACGUGCAUCCGGGAGCUUACCCGUCUCUUGUCUUUGCGGAACAUUUCUCACCGACAUGACCUCUCUUCCCAAGAUUUCAACAUUGUUAGGACCAAAUUUGUCCUCAACUGUCACAAUUAUAAAAUCCUCAAAAGGUUCACAACUUAGUAUAGCUUGAGCUCUUUCUCCUUGAGUAGCUAAAUCUCCAACCACAGUCUGUACUCUACCUGCAACACUUCUCAAUCUGUCAUACCUCAUUCUCACAAUAUCCGAAGGUCUUGAAGUUGGAAAAGUGUCAAAUUCCUCAUCCAAUUCAUCUGGAUGCACAGCUUCUGCUUGCGAAAGUCUAGCAUCCAUGUGUGGUGGAUUCCUUGGCCGGAACCGGUAAUUCCAAAUCCCGAUUACAAACAAAUAAAGAAAACUGGUUGGCAAUAUCAAUUCAGGGUAGAAAAUAAGUAUCAAGAACAAGACAUGAACAAGGCAAGUUGUGAUUGGGUUUCUCCAAGUGCAAAUAUCAUCAAGCCAUUUACACACAGCUGAAAAACCCGAGAGUAGCGACAUUAUGCGGUGAAAAUUGGCUUUGCUUCUCCUUAGACUCCACAUAUGGUAAUCUACAUCAAGCAUGUAUUCAACUGAUUCGCGUCGAAGCGGCGGCUCAGCUCUUGCUAGCCUUGCUGCCACGAUCUGCAUGGCCUGAUAACGGAGCCAAUCAAUGUGGCGAACAGGUAUUGGUUGAACAUAAUGCAUUUUGGGAAGCAAAGGUCUUCCAUAUUGAGCUACCAUAUUAACCCAAGCUGUGCAAGUGAACCUCACAGCCAAGUGAAGCUCUCCAUUCUUCUUUAGGCCAUUGGUUUGGAGAACCAAUAGAGGAUAAUAAUGAGUAUAUACUCUAUCAGUUUCGAGUGUUGAUAACCUUAUUCUCACCUUUCCAAUUCUCUGAUCUUUGUUGUCACUGCUCCCAUUGAGGUGGUGAUUGUCGAAAACACUAACCGUGAUCACAGUGCAUGGAUCAUGAACCUCCCAUGUAUACUGUUCAUUCCACCUAGGCGACAGUGUAUCAAGCAGAGUUCUUGUCCUAACCCAUUUGUUACCGUACUUGGCCACACAGUAUGCAUCAGUAGUCCUACCAUCUUUGCCUUUCAUAGGUAGCAAAUUCCGGGCACUAAGUAUCCCGAGUUCGAGAAUUCCAAUGUUUUUCCUCCUUAAGUGUUUGGACGACGGUUGAAGAUCGCUGCUGAAAUGUGUCGAUUCAUCAAGAACAUGAUACCCUGCUUCCAGACAAAUCCGGAGGUGAAUCUUGCUCGAGAAUUUCUCCUUCUUUCUCUCCGUCUCCUCUUCACCGACCUCACUAGGCCUAUGAAGAUUGAACCAACGUGCAUCCGGGAGCUUACCCGUCUCUUGUCUUUGCGGAACAUUUCUCACCGACAUGACCUCUCUUCCCAAGAUUUCAACAUUGUUAGGACCAAAUUUGUCCUCAACUGUCACAAUUAUAAAAUCCUCAAAAGGAUCAGCAGCAACAAACAUAACCUCCUCAUUCCAAAUUGGAUUAAUAGCUCUCAUUUGAGAAGGCCUAGUAAACCUCAUCUGAUUCCCUAGCUGCACCCUAACAGAAGCUUGUGGAACCCUUCCUUUAUCAGAAGGAGCAAGAUCU
RNAcentral lists this long non-coding RNA (1642 nucleotides) under Cicer arietinum (chickpea). Its description in RNAcentral is "long non-coding RNA (CARI_LNC001979)". Lineage: Eukaryota; Viridiplantae; Streptophyta; Magnoliopsida; Fabales; Fabaceae. The record is from RNAcentral.